AACGAACGCUGGCGGCGUGCUUAACACAUGCAAGUCGAACGGAAACGCCCUGCUUUUUUGGGCUGCGCUGGUUGCGAACUGGUGAGUAACACUUGAGUUAGCUGUCCUUGCCUUUAGGAUGACUUAAUGAAAGUUGGUCUAAUACGGGAUAGGAUUUCCUGCUGUAUGGUGGGGGUUGGAAGGUUUCGGUGGUUGGCGUUGGACUCGCGCCUUAUCAGCGUGGUGGUGGGGUAGUGGCAUACCAAGUCUUUGACGGGUAGCCGGCCUGGGAGGGUGACAGGAAACAUUGGGCCUGAGAUGCGGCACGGACCCCUACGGGAGGCAGCGGUGGAGAAGAGUGCACAAUGGGCGGAAGCAUGAUGCAGCCAAGCAGCGCCCGGGAAGACGGGAAUCGGGUUGUAAACCGAUUCUCCCUGAGCCGAAGCGUGAGUGACGGUAAUGGGUAAAGAAGCACCGGCUAACUACGUG
This 468-nucleotide ribosomal RNA is filed under the name uncultured bacterium. RNAcentral describes it as "partial 16S ribosomal RNA". It matches the Rfam family "Bacterial small subunit ribosomal RNA", at positions 28 to 507 of the family's 1533-position model. The record is from RNAcentral.